This 1137-nucleotide ribosomal RNA is filed under the name Triticum aestivum (bread wheat). RNAcentral's name for it is "partial small subunit ribosomal RNA". Lineage: Eukaryota; Viridiplantae; Streptophyta; Magnoliopsida; Poales; Poaceae. The record is from RNAcentral.
AUGAAGUUCUGGGGUGUGGAAGUGAAGCCGGGACAGACAGUUUAUUGCGACCCUGGUGAAGGGCGUGUUGUUCAUCUCACACAGGUUGCCCUGGGUGAAACAGAGAAAAGAAGUGUCGGCAUACCAGUAUCUGCUAAAAUUGGUGAUCAGAAGGGGGUCAUUGGAACUCUGUCGGCUGAAAAUCACCCUCAGAUUCUUUGUGAUUUGAUCUUUGAGAAACAGUUUGAGCUAUCACACAGUUCAAAAACUGCCAGUGUGUUUGCGUGUGGUUACAAGAUUCCCAAGCAUAACUGCACGUCUGAUUCUAGCGAAUCUGAUUCUAGCGAAUCUGAUUCUAGCGAGUUUGAUUCCAGCGAGUCUGAUUCUAGCGAAGAUGAAGUGGAAACUGUAAACAAUCAAGUGGCCAAUCCUAUUGUUGGCAAUGUGGCAAAGCCUCCGACAACAAAGGAUGAUAAAAAGGUUACAGAUAACCAUGACAGUGGUGAGGAUGAUAGUGAUUUUUAUUCUACAGAUUCAGAUGAUUACGACGAUGAUGGGUACAGUAGCUUAGAUACCGAUUCUGAAGAGGAUGGUACCAGUAGUGAAGAGAUGGAUACCAGUAGCAAAGAGGAGGACAAAGACAGUCCUAAGCCUGAGGAUGGCAAGAAAGCGGUGGCCGAGACUGCCUUGAAGACACCUGCCUCUGACGACACCAGUAGCAAAGAGGGUUCAAGUGAUGAGGAAGACAAAAACACUCCUAAGCCCGAGGAUGGCGAGAAGACGGUGGGCGCCGAGACUGCCUUGAAGACACCUGCCUCUGACGAUACUAGUAACAAGGAGGGUACAAGUGAUCAGGAAGACAAAAACACUCCUAAGCCUGAGGUUGGCACGAAGAGGGCGGCCGAAACCGCCUUGGAGACGCCUGCUCCUGACAAGAAGGCAAAGAUUGAAACACCAUCUGGCCAGGACACAGAUGACAAGAAGAUUGUCCAUGUGGCAACUCCCCAUCCAGCAAAGCAGGCCGACAAGGCGCCUGGGAACAGCAAGCAACAUCUCAAGUCCAAAUAUGUCGGCGGCGCCCACGCCUGCAAGUCGUGCAGCAGGACAUUCGGCAGUGCUUCGGCGCUCCAAUCCCAUGAGAAGGCGAAGCACGCUUGA